UCCAGACUCCUACGGGAGGCAGCAGUGGGGGAUAUUGCACAAUGGGGGGAACCCUGAUGCAGCGACGCCGCGUGGGUGAAGGAGCGUUUCGGCGCGUAAAGCCCUAUCGGCAGGGAAGAAGGAGGACGGUACCUGACUAAGAAGCCCCGGCUAACUACGUGCCAGCAGCCGCGGUAAUACGUAGGGGGCAAGCGUUAUCCGGAUUUACUGGGUGGAAAGGGGGCGCAGACGGCAGCGCAAGCCAGGAGUGAAAGCCCGGGGCCCAACCCCGGGACUGCUCUUGGAACUGCGCGGCUGGAGUGCAGGAGGGGCAGGCGGAAUUCCUGGUGUAGCGGUGAAAUGCGCAGAUAUUGGGAAGAACACCGGCGGCGAAGGCGGCCUUCUGGGCCACGACUGACGCUGAGGCGCGAAAGCUAGGGGAGCGAACAGGAUUAGAUACCCCAGUA
Molecule: ribosomal RNA, 446 nt
Filed under: uncultured bacterium
Lineage: Bacteria
Description: partial 16S ribosomal RNA
Rfam family: Bacterial small subunit ribosomal RNA
Source: RNAcentral